Molecule: ribosomal RNA, 208 nt
Filed under: uncultured bacterium
Lineage: Bacteria
Description: partial 16S ribosomal RNA
Rfam family: Bacterial small subunit ribosomal RNA
Source: RNAcentral
CUCGUAGGCGGUUUGGAUAGUCGGGUGUGAAAACUCCGAGCUCAACUCGGAGACGCCACCCGAUACUGCCAUGACUAGAGUCCGGUAGGGGAGCAGGGAAUUCCUGGUGUAGCGGUGAAAUGCGCAGAUAUCAGGAGGAACACCGGUGGCGAAGGCGCUGCUCUGGGCCGGUACUGACGCUGAGGAGCGAAAGCGUGGGUAGCAAACA